GGAGGCAGACAGUGCCCCUUGGCGUUCGCUGAAGAAACUGCAUUUGCUUGUUGAGCAGGGAAAGCGCCGCGAAAGCAUGCAUGCACAUCCCCGACCUAACCUUACUUCUCGUUUCCGAGGAUUGUGACUCCCACCAGGACACCACCAGGCCUUGGUUUUCUGCAGCUCUGUGGCUCUGGCCUGAAACACACACUCUACACUAUCUGUUUGAUGAAUGAUGGACAUGAAAUAAAUAUUUUUAAAGUAAUUGCGAAGCUACAGUAUUGAAAGCUUCCUGGAAGUUAAAGAUGGCAAGGAGGGUGAAAGCAUCCUAGUGACCCUCUUCCCUUGGAAACUCUCCUGCUGAUCCGGUGCUGCAGGAUCCUGCCUAGGCAGCUAUUGUGGACAAAAUCCAACCCAGUGCUGGAAAUUUCCAACAGCCUCUCUAUGAUUUUAUGAGCAGAUGGCACCAUUUGGAAAAUAUUUCGGAAUUUACAGAUUUUGUCCAGGAUUUUUUAUUUUCAUUUUCUCUAUA
Non-coding RNA from Microcebus murinus (gray mouse lemur), 514 nucleotides. The record is from RefSeq and is a predicted model, not a curated record. Lineage: Eukaryota; Metazoa; Chordata; Mammalia; Primates; Cheirogaleidae.